UGGGGAAUAUUGCACAAUGGGCGGAAGCCUGAUGCAGCGACGCCGCGUGGGGGAUGACGGCCUUCGGGUUGUAAACCUCUUUCAGCAGGGACGAAGCGUUUGUGACGGUACCUGCAGAAGAAGCGCCGGCUAACUCCGUGCCAGCAGCCGCGGUAAUACGGGGGGGGCGAGCGUUGUUCGGAAUCACUGGGCGUAAAGGGCGCGUAGGCGGCCCGCACAAGUCUGCGGUGAAAACCUCCGGCUUAACCGGGGGCCGGCCGUGGAAACUGUCGGGCUGGAGGCUGGGAGAGGGAAGCGGAAUUCCCGGUGUAGCGGUGAAAUGCGUAGAGAUCGGGAGGAACACCGGUGGCGAAGGCGGCUUCCUGGACCAGCCCUGACGCUGAGGCGCGAAAGCUAGGGGAGCAAACAG
Molecule: ribosomal RNA, 409 nt
Filed under: uncultured bacterium
Lineage: Bacteria
Description: bacterial SSU rRNA
Rfam family: Bacterial small subunit ribosomal RNA
Source: RNAcentral